Long non-coding RNA from Pimephales promelas (fathead minnow), 1957 nucleotides. RefSeq lists it as uncharacterized. NCBI's taxonomy places the organism in Eukaryota, Metazoa, Chordata, Actinopteri, Cypriniformes, Leuciscidae. The record is from RefSeq and is a predicted model, not a curated record.
GACCCAACUGACCGGUGAAGACGAAAACAGCAUCGAGACAGACUGAACUCAAACAUCCAACACCCAGUCUCUGCACUGGCUGUUCCCUCUCUGGAAGAUCCCUGACCUCACCACGGCUGAUUCUUCUGAUGACACGACUCCUGAGACAAAAGAAACGUAUCCAGAUGUCCUGAAAACGAUGAGACCUUGAGUCAGCUAGAUUAGCAGUAAGGCGACCUCUCACCUACCGUCAUCUCUUGGAAACUGAAAGCAGAACAAAGGCUUAUUCGGUAAGGGGAAAUCUACCUCUGUCCCUGGCUGUUAUAGAAGAACUCUGGACAUUCCUUGAGCAGAGUAUUGAAGUGUCCAGAGCUCACCUGGAGAAGACGGGAGAGUCAUAUACGAGGAGCCUUUACAGUCACCGACAGAUGAGGGUGAGAGAUUCUGAGGUGAUGGAAGGAGAGCGAGCGAGUGAGGGAUGAGGGGCGCUGCUGUGAGUGGUUCUUUGGCAGUGUCUUAGCUGGUUGUUGUGUGGAGUGAGAACGAAGCAAUCAGCAAGUAUACUGCCGCAGAAACUCAUCACCUUAGGAAGCCCAUCCAUCCGACCCCGCUCACGCACUCCGCUGCCCACCCGCACUUACAGCCUGGGGAGAGACAAGAAAAGAGAAACUUAUUACCAAGCUUCUCUUCCCAUUCAUUCUUCUUCUAGUUGUGAGUGUGAGCUUUUGUUUCCGUCACUGUCGUUUGAACACGUUCAGCGACUGAUUUCAUGAAUGUUUCAAGUGAAAGACUGAUUCAUGCUUACAGUAUCUUGGGUCAUUUUUUCCAUGACGUUGUUGUCAUAGUUUAGAUCAAACCUCUUUCUUUUUUUUUUCUCUUUUCCAUGAGAUCAGGAGUGAUUUAGUCACAUCUUAUUGUGAAUAUCAGCUGACCAGAUUUCAGUGUUGAAAUUAACUUGUUGUGAUCUGUUUAUAUUUGACCUAUAUAGAUUAUAGUCUGAUGACAUAUUCAGAUGACUUUGUGUCGUAAUAAUGUUCAUUAUGAAGUGUGUUAAUUAAUUAAAAUAUACAUUAUCAUCAUAAUGAUAGUAAAAAUAUCUGAAUUUGAAAAUAAAAGAUAUAUAUUAAUGUAAACACUUUGUAUAAUAUAGAUAUAUAUUAAUGUAGACACUUUGUAUAAUGUGCACUUUUUAAAUAAAUUUAAUUUAAAUGUAUUUUUAAUAGACUGUAUUUUUAUGAUAAAAAUAUAUGAAUGCAUCAUUACUGUCAUGUGUUAUUUCUCUAUGUCUGGUUUCUGUUUAAAAUUAACUUUAAAGCAAUUUGUGUGUAUCAAGUCGAGUUUCAUUUUCAGGGAAUUUCAUUAGUGUUUUGGUUUCGGUUGUUGAUCAUCAAAAGAGUGGUUUGAGCAGGUGAAUGAAACGCCCGUAACUCACUUGGGUUUUUGAUGUAAUCACAUCAGUGUGGCAAUAAGUCUGAACUUGUCCGGAAAGCUGAAAAUCAAUUUAGUAAGGUCUUUUACAAAGUAUUAAAGCACUCUGUUUUAAAUCAUACCUUGAAAAUGAGAUAACAGUGUAGCCUUCACAGAUUUAAUAUCACAAACAUGUUACUUUAAAAGGUAUGUUGUUGGACACCAUAUAUAUCAAAGUGCAAGUGCAACAAUAGCAAAUUAACUGUAUGGAUAACCUCAGGUAUUUGUCCAAUAGACCAGUUUAAUCACUUGCUGGAUUGGAUCUUAGUGCCAACACUGUCAAUCACAUUUUUAUGCAACGAUUUUGGGGGCAAACAUAUGUUGAUUCUGUUUUGAAUUUUAUUUUAUUUUAUCUCUUUACUUUAGUCUGAAUUGCAUUCUGUCAGGAGUUUUAUUUGGAAAUAUUAUCUGUGAUGAAAGAUCAAAACUGAACUUGCCUUGUUAACCAGACCUCCUGAUGUGAUUCAUGCACAUACCAGAAUACAAAAUAAACGGUUUUACCCCAGUCCCC